RNAcentral lists this long non-coding RNA (1039 nucleotides) under Marmota monax (woodchuck). The record is from RNAcentral. Lineage: Eukaryota; Metazoa; Chordata; Mammalia; Rodentia; Sciuridae.
AGCGCCGCGGGCCCCUCGGGGUCCAGGCUGUGCCUGCGCGCUCGCGCGCCCCGCCGACCUACCCUCCAGGGUCCGCGCGCCCUCCGCCCACCGCUGGGUCGCCUGCCCGCCGCCGUGUCAUCAGCCACAGGGCCUGGUCACAGGUGUCUACAGGUGCACCAGCCGUCGCCUGGCCACAGGCCUGGUCCACUAGUGCCGCAGUUAGGCUGGGUCACAGGGCCUGGUCACCCUUGUGGUUACGCUGGGUCACAGGGCCUGGUCAGCCAGGUCCGUGGGUGUGCAGGGUUGCAAGGCCUGCUACCCGCCUGCCGUGAUGGUACUGUCAGACCUGGCCACCUGUGUCCGAAGCUGUCCUGUCACUCACCUGGCAUGGUCACACAUGUCUUUGUUACACAUGUCCACGGCUGCACUGUCGGUCACUGGGUCUGGUCACCCGUGCCUUCCGCUGUGCUGUCGGUCACUCUGGGCUGUCCCGGGCCUCUGAUGACUUGUCUGCAUCGGCACCUGCCUCUGUGUGACUGCUGGGCCUGUUUCUGUGGGUCUUCUGUCCCCUGUGGGUGCCUGGGAGUUUCGGUUGUGCCAGGCCUUGUGGGCGCUGGUGUGAGCUGUUGAAAGAGGCUUGCGCCCAGGGCUGCUUUCCCACCGGCCACAGCCCUCAGAUGCCCCAGGAAGUGCCCGGGCUGUCCGGGCUUCGGGUCGAUCCCCACAGGCCUGAGCUGGUGCGUGCUCAGGUGAAGACCUAGAGGAGCUCCAGGAGACCUCGGAGCAGUCUCCACAGGUCUUCCCUCCUGGCCCCUGGAAUCCGAGCUGUGUGCUCAACUCCACUACAAGGGCCUGUUUGCAUUGUGGCCCGGAAACUCCACAGGCUGCUGAAACAGCCUUUCCUUAGGACCACAGUCCUGUGCUGCCUGCUGUCGAGGUCUGCAAACCACCAGUUUACGCUUUUCAUCUGAUUUUUGAGUUGUUUAAAUCUACUAACUCAUAUUUCAUCAUGGUCAGUAGAAGUUUUUUCUUCUGCUUUCAAACAACAGUGACUUUA